This 583-nucleotide ribosomal RNA is filed under the name Salmonella enterica. Its description in RNAcentral is "partial 23S ribosomal RNA". It matches the Rfam family "Bacterial large subunit ribosomal RNA", at positions 2220 to 2802 of the family's 2925-position model. Lineage: Bacteria; Pseudomonadati; Pseudomonadota; Gammaproteobacteria; Enterobacterales; Enterobacteriaceae. The record is from RNAcentral. RNAcentral also lists the same sequence under 1 other name.
UUCUAACGUGGACCCGUUACCCGGGUUGCGGACAGUGUCUGGUGGGUAGUUUGACUGGGGCGGUCUCCUCCUAAAGAGUAACGGAGGAGCACGAAGGUUGGCUAAUCCUGGUCGGACAUCAGGAGGUUAGUGCAAUGGCAUAAGCCAGCUUGACUGCGAGCGUGACGGCGCGAGCAGGUGCGAAAGCAGGUCAUAGUGAUCCGGUGGUUCUGAAUGGAAGGGCCAUCGCUCAACGGAUAAAAGGUACUCCGGGGAUAACAGGCUGAUACCGCCCAAGAGUUCAUAUCGACGGCGGUGUUUGGCACCUCGAUGUCGGCUCAUCACAUCCUGGGGCUGAAGUAGGUCCCAAGGGUAUGGCUGUUCGCCAUUUAAAGUGGUACGCGAGCUGGGUUUAGAACGUCGUGAGACAGUUCGGUCCCUAUCUGCCGUGGGCGCUGGAGAACUGAGGGGGGCUGCUCCUAGUACGAGAGGACCGGAGUGGACGCAUCACUGGUGUUCGGGUUGUCAUGCCAAUGGCACUGCCCGGUAGCUAAAUGCGGAAGAGAUAAGUGCUGAAAGCAUCUAAGCACGAAACUUGCCCCGA